UACAGAGGUCCCAAGCGUUGUCCGGAAUUAUUGGGCGUAAAGAGCUCGUAGGCGGUUUGUUGCGUCGGCUGUGAAAUCCCGAGGCUCAACCUCGGGUCUGCAGUCGAUACGAGCAAACUAGAGUGUUGCAGGGGAGACUGGAAUUCCUGGUGUAGCGGUGAAAUGCGCAGAUAUCAGGAGGAACACCGGUGGCGAAGGCGGGUCUCUGGGCAACAACUGACGCUGAGGUGCGAAAGCGUGGGGAGCAAACAGG
RNAcentral lists this ribosomal RNA (253 nucleotides) under uncultured bacterium. RNAcentral's name for it is "partial 16S ribosomal RNA". It matches the Rfam family "Bacterial small subunit ribosomal RNA", at positions 524 to 776 of the family's 1533-position model. The record is from RNAcentral.